Molecule: small nuclear RNA, 104 nt
Filed under: Meriones unguiculatus (Mongolian gerbil)
Lineage: Eukaryota; Metazoa; Chordata; Mammalia; Rodentia; Muridae
Source: RNAcentral
GUGCUAGCUUGGGCAGCUCCAACACUAAAACUGGACCAACAGAGAACACUGGUAUGGCUCCAUGCAGGGAUGACAAUCCAAUCUGUGAGGUAUCCCAUAUUUUA